UCCCUGGAGGACUAGUGGUUAGGCCUUGGUGCUUUCACUGCCACAGCCCGGGUUCGAUUCCUGGCCAGGGAA
Non-coding RNA from Pangasianodon gigas (Mekong giant catfish), 72 nucleotides. NCBI's taxonomy places the organism in Eukaryota, Metazoa, Chordata, Actinopteri, Siluriformes, Pangasiidae. The record is from the annotation of a GenBank genome assembly.